CCUACGGGCGGCAGCAGUAGGGGAUAUUGCACAAUGGGGGAAACCCUGAUGCAGCGACGCCGCGUGGGUGAAGAAGCGCCUCGGCGCGUAAAGCCCUGUCAGCAGGGAAGAAAAUGACGGUACCUGAAGAAGAAGCCCCGGCUAACUACGUGCCAGCAGCCGCGGUCAUACGUAGGGGGCAAGCGUUAUCCGGAUUUACUGGGUGUAAAGGGGGCGCAGACGGCGAUGCAAGCCAGGAGGGAAAGCCCGGGGCCCAACCCCGGGACUGCUCUUGGAACUGCGUGGCUAGAGUGCCGGAGGGGCAGGCGGAAUUCCUGGUGUAGCGGUGAAAUGCGUAGAUAUAAGGAGGAACACCGGAGGCGAAGGCGGCCUGCUGGACUGCAACUGACGUUGAGGCCCGAAAGCGUGGGGAGCAAACAGGAUUAGAUACCCCAGUAGUC
This 440-nucleotide ribosomal RNA is filed under the name uncultured bacterium. Its description in RNAcentral is "partial 16S ribosomal RNA". It matches the Rfam family "Bacterial small subunit ribosomal RNA", at positions 338 to 795 of the family's 1533-position model. The record is from RNAcentral.